RNAcentral lists this long non-coding RNA (526 nucleotides) under Zostera marina. Its description in RNAcentral is "long non-coding RNA (ZMAR_LNC005645)". The record is from RNAcentral. Lineage: Eukaryota; Viridiplantae; Streptophyta; Magnoliopsida; Alismatales; Zosteraceae.
UUUGCUUGUUCAAUGUUGAAAACACGACAUGGAUGCCUGAGGAUUCUGUGGUGGAAUAUUGGUUCAAGGGAAUACUGAUGAGUACCAUACCAUCCUUGCCCAAGCUUGAGUAUUGGCUCUCCUUUGCCUUCAUUCUUUAGGUAUUUACAGAGCCAUGGGACUCUUUCAUUGCAAUUUCUCACAAGAUCAUAAUUGAACUUUUUCGGUAGAUCGUAAACAAAAAUACCCUUUCCUUGGCAGUUGCUCUUCAUAGUUAUCGAAGAAGAAGAAGAAGAAGAAGAUGACCAUGAACGCAUGGUUUGUAUUUGUUCUUCAACAAUCUUAACAGCAAUGGCUUUUUCUUCCUCCUUGCUUAUAAUUCUCUCAUCAAUUGUAUUGUUUUUAAUUGCAGCAGUAGCAGUGAUAUUGAAUUUGGCAUGAUCACCGGAGAAGCCGAGGAUAUUUUGCUUCUGAGAGGAGGCACGGAUAUUGAAGAAUGACUCAGACAACAACAGAGUGCUGCACCACCAAGUCAUUAUGAUUCCCA